CACGUAGGAGGCGAGCGUUGUCCGGAAUCAUUGGGCGUAAAGAGCGCGCAGGCGGCCCGGCAAGUCGGGUGUGAAAUCCCGGGGCUCAACCCCGGGACUGCAUUCGAUACUGCCGGGCUAGAGGUAGGUAGGGGAGAUCGGAAUUCCUGGUGUAGCGGUGAAAUGCGCAGAUAUCAGGAGGAACACCGGUGGCGAAGGCGGAUCUCUGGGCCGAUACUGACGCUGAGGAGCGAAAGCGUGGGGAGCAAACAGG
Molecule: ribosomal RNA, 253 nt
Filed under: uncultured bacterium
Lineage: Bacteria
Description: partial 16S ribosomal RNA
Rfam family: Bacterial small subunit ribosomal RNA
Source: RNAcentral